This 4753-nucleotide unclassified non-coding RNA is filed under the name Bactrocera latifrons. Its description in RNAcentral is "beta-1-syntrophin, transcript variant X1". Lineage: Eukaryota; Metazoa; Arthropoda; Insecta; Diptera; Tephritidae. The record is from RNAcentral.
UUCGCGGAUAAAGGAUGUGUAAAUCGUGCNUGGNACGCGNCGUGGCGGUUUAAAUUAAGUGUUNAGUGUUAUAAUUAUAUCUGUGUAUGGACUGGUGUAAUGUGUAAGUUUGUGUUGAUUUGUGUGUGCGCGUGGUAUGGUGGCGUGGGUGCUGACGCGUAUCCCCGCAAUUAGUGGUGCCAAUAAAGUGAAUAAUACUAAAGUGCAUUUGGUUACAAAAAUUUUUGUUGGACUUGUGCUUUGAAGUGUGCAAAUUUGCGUAUUUAAUGAAGCAACAAAACGGCGUCGCGAGACUUCCGGAAAAACACGAGCUGUGGAAAAUCAAAGAGUGCAGACAUAAUUGUUGUUGCUCUAUAAUUUAUUGUGUGCGACGCGCGACCGACUCUAUAUGUGCGAGCGUAGAAGUAUGUAAAUUGGCAUACCAAUACAUCGGCAAUAUUUCGCAUACACACGCACAAAAGGCACUUAAAAAAGCUCGCGUUUGUGUGUCNGCAUCGGUGUCGGGACUCUUCCUUGCUGUGUGCUGAAAGAAGCGUGCUGAAAGUGGCGCAGUAGCGAAAAAUUGCGCAGGCGCUGUGCAUGCCAUGCCUGCUGUGUAAUUAUUUAUGACGGAAUAAUAAUAAUAAUAGGAAGCGAUAAGCAAAAAAAAAAUCAUAAUAAUAAUAAAAACAAAAAUAGAUAAUUUGGUAAUAAUGAUCAAAAAAUUUGGUGAUAGUGCAAAGUGUUUAAUAGAAAAUAUUUGUUGAAACAUUUUUUGUCUGUGAANGCCUCUGAGUAACAACGUGGUGUUGGCAUGUAAACAACGAACAUUUGGUCUAAAAAAUCAACCGACUGUGAACGUGUCAAAAUCAUACGCUUCAAAGCGAUAUCAAGCAUUACAUAUCAUGCAAUAACGGUUUAUUGUGUCAGAGGCGCGGUAUUACUAUUCACUUUGACUCAGCCAACAAUACAAUACUGGCAGCAGCGACAACGACAAGCGCAAUAUCAAAGGUUCUACAACGUUAUUGCGCAUUUUCAAAGCGCCCAACAACCAAGUAAGUGGCCGUGAUAGCCACGCUUUGACGGCUGAGCUGUUGCGGCACACCACACACCACGCCACGCCAUGGUGGAGUCUUCAGCCAUUGGCCGGCCACUAACUGGAUGUGUAAAUCCACAGCAGCCGGCAACAGCUGCCAUCACCGCCACCGCACAGCAUUCGCCCUCCGGCAUGCGUUGCGGCACGUUGGAGACGCGCGUGCGAGGCGCCUGGUAUCGGGUGCUGGUGACGCUGGAAACCGACUUUCUGGCAAUUAGUUUGGACGAGUCCUGCGAUGCGGCGGCCAUCAGUGUGGACCAAUCGACCACACUGAAUGGCACUUUGGGCAGCAAUCACAGCGGUCAUAAUGGGUCCAUACCCUCAUCAGCCUCCAUGCAGGGUAUGGGCGGCACGGGCACGAGCACGGGCAACGGCGCUGAUACCGAUUGUACGGACAAUGGUGGUGGCAGCGCUAACGGCGGCGACCAUCUGCUGAAUAAUAAUACGUUGGACAAUGGACUGGAUAUGUGCGAUGUACCUGAUCAUGUGGCAAAUCAAAAGAGACAUGUGCGCAUCAUUAAAUCGGACAACAACGGUCUCGGCAUUUCCAUUAAGGGCGGACGCGAAAAUCGCAUGCCCAUAUUGAUAUCGAAAAUUUUCCGCGGCAUGGCGGCGGAUCAAGCCAAGGGGCUGUAUGUGGGCGAUGCCAUACUGUCGGUGAACGGCGAGGAGCUGCGCGAAGCAACACAUGAUGAGGCAGUGCGCGCACUAAAACGAGCCGGUCGCGUUGUGGAUUUAGAAGUGAAAUUCCUGCGCGAGGUGACACCGUACUUCCGAAAAGCCAGUAUUAUCUCCGAAGUGGGCUGGGAAUUGCAGCGCGCCUUCCUGUGUCCACUGGGGCCCGGCGCGCCUACAUCGCCGCCAGCGCCGAAGAUCACACCGCGCGCCGACACGCGUUACAUACCGUUGCAGUUGACACAUUUGGCGCGCAAUUUGAAAUACAUCGAUCCCGAGAACCGUUGUAUCGAACUGCAUUCGCCGGAUGGCGUGCACUCGUGCAUCCUGCGCGCCACCGACUCAGCCGAAGCGCUGAUCUGGUUCAAUGCGCUGCACUCGGCGAUGUGUGGCAGCACACAGCGCGCACUCACCGAUGCCAAUCGCGCGCUAAUGAAUGUCAUCGGCGAGCUGAAGCACAUUGGCUGGCUUAGCAGGCGUUUGAGUGGCGGCAGCACCAGCGGCGGCGUGGGCGGUGGCAGCUCUGGCAGCGGCGGUGGUGGUGGCGGCAGCAGCGCCAGCGCUAUUGGCGGCGGCGGCGCAGGCGAUUUGCCAAGCGGACGUUCCAGCUCGGAGAGUUCCGAUGAAAACGACAAAUGGCAACCGAUUUUUGUCGCCGUCACCGAACGUGAGUUCAGGAUUUACGAGUCCGCUCCUUGGUCAGUGGAGGCAUGGGGACGUCCGUUGGAGAGCUUUGCAUUGGCAACAACAAGACUGGCUGGCGCUGGCAAUAAUUCAUCUUUGAACGGUCAACAGACGACGGUCUUUUGCGUGCGCUGCGGCACCACCCGUGGCGUGCUGGUCUAUUGGCUGCGCUCGGAGACGCAUCGCGACAUGGCUGCGUGGGCGCGCGCACUGGUGCAGGGCUCACACAACGCCGUCAACUAUCAGCGUGAGUUCUCAUUUCGCUGCCUCUACCAAGGCAGACAGUGUCAAUUGGUUGUGCAUUUGAAUCGCGGCUUUUGCCUAUACGACUGCAGCGGGUUUUCGGCGGCGGCGGCGGCGGGUGUCGUAGUGCCGCCCAAUCAGGCCAAAACUCAGUUGUGGCAAUUUCCGUUCGACAAAUUGAAGGGCUCAGCGGACGACGGCAUACGCAUGCUGUACUUGGAUUUCGGCGAUGACGGCGAAAUUGAACUAGAUAUGGAAUGCUGUCCCAAGCCGGUGGUCUUCGUGGUGCACAAUUGCCUGUCGGCGAAAGUACACUCCAUCACCUAAGAGGAGCCAGCGCCAGCUGACGCGCAGCGGGCAGCUUGAUCAGCGUCUGACGUAGCACAAACAAAAUUACUUUGAGAAGCGUAAGAAGGAGGCCCCCACAAAUGGGCGAGCAGCAGUAACGUAGUAAAAAUUUUUGUAAUUUCAUACCAAACGCCGUUGAGUGAAUGCAGUUGAAAGAGAAAAACAAGUAAACGUUUAUAUACACUGUGCAACAUGUUGCGCGUUUAUAAUAAUGCAAUAUAUCAAAUUUACUUAGUACUUAAUCAUAAAGUAAUUAUAACAUAAUUAUACUUAAUACAAUUGUGGUAAGCAUAAGUAGAUUUGUAUAGCAACGUAUGUUAAACAGUUGAACGUCAGCUGGACAGCUUUUGAGCGCGUGUGUGCUUCCUUAUUUUGUAUAAGGUGCAAAACUAGUCUUCAGUCGCGUAAUUCAAAUAAUACACAUUAUGCAUAAAUUUAACAAUCCGUACCGUUAUACAUUAGUAUAUACUAUGUAUAACAUUUAAAUGUAAACACACACACUUGCAACACAAUAUUUCCGAAUAUUUGCAGGUUUGCUACUUUUCACACCGAAAUUCAUACUUCUCAGCCUAAAUAGGGUUGCAAUUUUUUUGGUGUUUAGCGAAAUUAAAGCGCACAAACUCGUGUGUAAGUGUUUAAAGUUUAGUUUUAAAAUAGUAGAAAGUAAGCUCGAAAAAACUGUCUGUAUGUUUGUAAAAAAGAAUUUCAAAUGGCAUGUAUAAAAAUAAUCCUUUUUCAAAUUUGCAUAAUUAAAUUGCACAUUCGACUAAUAUUUAAUUAACAAAUACAAACAGGCCAAAGCCAAACGAGUGCACAUGUUACAAACACAUACAUAUAUAUACAUAUAAAAUAUAUGUAUGUACAUAUGUAUGUAUGUAUGUAUGUACAUACAUAUAUUAGGGUGGUUAAAAAAAUCUUACUUUUUCCACUUGUUACUUUGAAGUAUAUGUACUUUGAAACCUCUAACAUAGAUAUACAUUAAAAAAAUAUGUUCAAAUAUUAGGGUGGGUCAAAAAAAAAUCGGAUUUUUUUUCUGCUUGGUACUUUGAAGGUUAGGUUUUUAGACACCUCUAACACAUCCUAAUAUAUAAAAAAAAAAUAAUUCGUUUUUGACCCACCCUAAUGUACAUAUAUAUUCUUACAUAUACAUACACAACACAAACAUAGUUUGAAACAGAGGGAAUGAGAUGUGCAAAUGCAAACUAACAAUGUAAUAUUUGUUUAUUUGCAUGUUUGUACAUAUUUGCAAUAAAAUACCGAACAAAAGAACCGAGGAUAAUAAUUAAAUUUAACAGAAAAAUAAAAAAGUAUCACAUUUACAUUUACUACUGCAUACAAUUUACGAAAAACUAUAAUAUAAAUAAUAUUACAAAAUAGGCAACAACAAUUACCGUUAGAUAAAAUCCAGCAACAUAUCUCGAUCAGCUGCAAUCAGCAACUGCAUACAUAGAGACUUAAUAAUAUUAAUUAACAAAAUUAAAUUUAAUUAAUAAAAGUGUUAACAACAAAAGCGGAAAUCAAAUGAAAAUAACGCUAAACAGCAGUUAAGCGGACAAACGGCGCCAUAGCUGAUUUGGAACACAUUUUUCUCUAAUUGCCCCUAAAGACCGAAAACCAACACAUUAAUGCAAUAGGCGUGUCGUAAAGGCGUUAUUGAACACUUUGCCGUAAAAACAGCAGCAACAGCAAGAAUCAGUAUAAUAUACAUAUAUAUAUAUAUAAAGAAUU